UAAGACUAACUUUUCAGGGAUCAUUUCUAUAGUUUGUUAUUAGAGAAGUUUCUCUGAACGUGUAGAGCACCAUUGACAUUCUCUUUUGCUGAA
Molecule: small nucleolar RNA, 93 nt
Organism: Macaca fascicularis (crab-eating macaque)
Lineage: Eukaryota; Metazoa; Chordata; Mammalia; Primates; Cercopithecidae
Gene: U3
Rfam family: Small nucleolar RNA U3
About the family: Small nucleolar RNAs (snoRNAs) are involved in the processing and modification of rRNA in the nucleolus. There are two main classes of snoRNAs: the box C/D class, and the box H/ACA class.
Source: Ensembl